CCUACGGGAGGCAGCAGUGGGGAAUCUUCCUCAAUGGGCGCAAGCCUGACGGAGCAAUGCCGCGUGAACGAAGAAGGUCUUCGGAUUGUAAAGUUCUGUCCGUAUCGAAGAGAGAGUAUAGUGUGAAAAAUGAUAUACUAGGCUGGUAGAUGAGGAGGAAGCCCCCGCUAACUACGUGCCAGCAGCCGCGGUGAUACGUAGGGGGUUAGCGUUGUCCGGAAUCGUUGGGGGUAAAGGGCGCGUAGGCGGGAAUAUAAGUCAGAGGUGAAAGGUGGGGGCUCAACCCCUAGAGUGCAACUGAUACUGUAUAACUUGAGAGUGAGAGAGGGAAGCGGAAUGCGUAGUGUAGCGGUGAAAUGCGUAGAUAUUAGGAGGAACACCAGUGGCGAAGGCGGCUUUCUGGCUCCUAACUGACGCUGAGGCGCGAAAGCGUGGGGAGCGAACAGGAUUAGAUACCCCUGUAGUC
Molecule: ribosomal RNA, 466 nt
Filed under: uncultured bacterium
Lineage: Bacteria
Description: partial 16S ribosomal RNA
Rfam family: Bacterial small subunit ribosomal RNA
Source: RNAcentral